Molecule: ribosomal RNA, 795 nt
Filed under: uncultured bacterium
Lineage: Bacteria
Description: bacterial SSU rRNA
Rfam family: Bacterial small subunit ribosomal RNA
Source: RNAcentral
AGAGUUUGAUCAUGGCUCAGGAUGAACGCUAGCGGGAGGCUUAACACAUGCAAGUCGAGGGGCAGCACGAGGUAGCAAUACUUUGGUGGCGACCGGCGCACGGGUGAGUAACGCGUAUGCAACCUACCCUGUACAGGGGGAUAACCCGGAGAAAUUCGGACUAAUACCCCAUAAAGAUAUUGAGGGGCAUCUUUUAAUAUUUAAAGUUCCGACGGUACGGGAUGGGCAUGCGUAACAUUAGCUAGUUGGCAGGGUAAUGGCCUACCAAGGCAUCGAUGUUUAGGGGUCCUGAGAGGGUGAUCCCCCACACUGGUACUGAGACACGGACCAGACUCCUACGGGAGGCAGCAGUGAGGAAUAUUGGUCAAUGGGCGCAAGCCUGAACCAGCCAUCCCGCGUGAAGGAAGAAGGCGCUAUGCGUUGUAAACUUCUUUUCCAGGGGAAGAAAACCCUUGAUGUAUCGGGGCUUGCCGGUACCCUGGGAAUAAGCAUCGGCUAACUCCGUGCCAGCAGCCGCGGUAAUACGGAGGAUGCGAGCGUUAUCCGGAUUUAUUGGGUUUAAAGGGUGCGUAGGCGGACUAGUAAGUCAGUGGUGAAAACCUGCAGCUUAACUGUAGACUUGCCGUUGAUACUGUUAGUCUUGAGUAUGGUCAAGGUAGGCGGAAUGUGUAAUGUAGCGGUGAAAUGCUUAGAUAUUACACAGAACACCGAUUGCGAAGGCAGCUUGCUGGGCCAUUACUGACGCUGAGGCACGAAAGCGUGGGGAUCGAACAGGAUUAGAUACCCUAGUAGUCC